This 45-nucleotide non-coding RNA is filed under the name Trichobilharzia regenti. The record is from RNAcentral. Lineage: Eukaryota; Metazoa; Platyhelminthes; Trematoda; Strigeidida; Schistosomatidae.
AUCCAGAUGAUCAGUCCCAAAUAGGACGAAAUGAGCAUCCUGUAU